AGAGUUUGAUCAUGGCUCAGAACGAACGCUGGCGGCAGGCCUAACACAUGCAAGUCGAACGCCCCGCAGGGGAGUGGCAGACGGGUGAGUAACACGUGGGAACCUUCCCUAUAGUACGGAAUAGCCCAGGGAAACUUGGAGUAAUACCGUAUACGCCCGAAAGGGGAAAGAAUUUCGCUAUAGGAUGGGCCCGCGUAGGAUUAGCUAGUUGGUGAGGUAAUGGCUCACCAAGGCGACGAUCCUUAGCUGGUUUGAGAGAACGACCAGCCACACUGGGACUGAGACACGGCCCAGACUCCUACGGGAGGCAGCAGUGGGGAAUAUUGGACAAUGGGCGCAAGCCUGAUCCAGCCAUGCCGCGUGAGUGAUGAAGGCCUUAGGGUUGUAAAGCUCUUUUGCCGGGGACGAUAAUGACGGUACCCGGAGAAUAAGUCCCGGCUAACUUCGUGCCAGCAGCCGCGGUA
This 464-nucleotide ribosomal RNA is filed under the name uncultured Pseudomonadota bacterium. RNAcentral's name for it is "bacterial SSU rRNA". It matches the Rfam family "Bacterial small subunit ribosomal RNA", at positions 8 to 522 of the family's 1533-position model. Lineage: Bacteria; Pseudomonadati; Pseudomonadota. The record is from RNAcentral.